UGUGGGGUAGAACGAACUGGCAUCGGGCUAAUAUCCCGGUGUCUUGACGGUACUGCCUUAGCAAGCAUCGGCUAACUCUGUGCCAGCAGCCGCGGUAAGACAGAGGAUGCGAACGUUGCUCGGAUUUACUGGGCGUAAAGCGCGUGUAGGCGGUCUCGUUAGUCGGGUGUGAAAGCCCCGGGCUCAACCCGGGAAGUGCACCCGAUACUGCGAGACUGGGGUACUGAAGAGGAGAGCGGAAUUCCCGGUGUAGAGGUGAAAUUCGUAGAUAUCGGGAGGAACACCAGUGGCGAAGGCGGCUCUCUGGGCAGAUACCGACGCUGAGACGCGAAAGCGUGGGGAGCAAACAGGAUUAGAUACCCUGGUAGUCCACGCUGUAAACGAUGACGACUGGGUGUUGCAGGUAUUGACCCCUGCGGUGCCGAAGCCAACGCGUUAAGUCGUCCGCCUGGGAAGUACGGCCGCAAGGCUAAAACUCAAAGGAAUUGAC
Molecule: ribosomal RNA, 490 nt
Filed under: uncultured bacterium
Lineage: Bacteria
Description: bacterial SSU rRNA
Rfam family: Bacterial small subunit ribosomal RNA
Source: RNAcentral